Molecule: ribosomal RNA, 542 nt
Filed under: uncultured bacterium
Lineage: Bacteria
Description: bacterial SSU rRNA
Rfam family: Bacterial small subunit ribosomal RNA
Source: RNAcentral
GCGGUUUGUCGCGUCUGCUGUGAAAAUCCGAGGCUCAACCUCGGACCUGCAGUGGGUACGGGCAAACUAGAGUGCGGUAGGGGAGAUUGGAAUUCCUGGUGUAGCGGUGGAAUGCGCAGAUAUCAGGAGGAACACCAAUGGCGAAGGCAGAUCUCUGGGCCGUAACUGACGCUGAGGAGCGAAAGCGUGGGGAGCGAACAGGAUUAGAUACCCUGGUAGUCCACGCCCUAAACGAUGUCUACUAGUUGUUGGGUCUUCAUUGACUUAGUAACGAAGCUAACGCGUGAAGUAGACCGCCUGGGGAGUACGGCCGCAAGGUUAAAACUCAAAGGAAUUGACGGGGGCCCGCACAAGCGGUGGAGCAUGUGGUUUAAUUCGAUGCCACGCGAAGAACCUUACCAUGCUUGACAUAUAGAGGAAAAGUGCAGAAUGCACUCCCGCAGGUCUCUAUACAGGUGGGCAUGGUGUCGUCAGCUCGUGCGUGAGAUGUGGGUUAGUCCGCACGAGCGCACCCCGUCUAUGUGCAGCCGUAUGUGGAAAGC